This 1525-nucleotide ribosomal RNA is filed under the name Lacticaseibacillus casei. RNAcentral's name for it is "bacterial SSU rRNA". It matches the Rfam family "Bacterial small subunit ribosomal RNA". The record is from RNAcentral. Lineage: Bacteria; Bacillati; Bacillota; Bacilli; Lactobacillales; Lactobacillaceae.
GUUUGAUCCUGGCUCAGGAUGAACGCUGGCGGCGUGCCUAAUACAUGCAAGUCGAACGAGUUCUCGUUGAUGAUCGGUGCUUGCACCGAGAUUCAACAUGGAACGAGUGGCGGACGGGUGAGUAACACGUGGGUAACCUGCCCUUAAGUGGGGGAUAACAUUUGGAAACAGAUGCUAAUACCGCAUAGAUCCAAGAACCGCAUGGUUCUUGGCUGAAAGAUGGCGUAAGCUAUCGCUUUUGGAUGGACCCGCGGCGUAUUAGCUAGUUGGUGAGGUAAUGGCUCACCAAGGCGAUGAUACGUAGCCGAACUGAGAGGUUGAUCGGCCACAUUGGGACUGAGACACGGCCCAAACUCCUACGGGAGGCAGCAGUAGGGAAUCUUCCACAAUGGACGCAAGUCUGAUGGAGCAACGCCGCGUGAGUGAAGAAGGCUUUCGGGUCGUAAAACUCUGUUGUUGGAGAAGAAUGGUCGGCAGAGUAACUGUUGUCGGCGUGACGGUAUCCAACCAGAAAGCCACGGCUAACUACGUGCCAGCAGCCGCGGUAAUACGUAGGUGGCAAGCGUUAUCCGGAUUUAUUGGGCGUAAAGCGAGCGCAGGCGGUUUUUUAAGUCUGAUGUGAAAGCCCUCGGCUUAACCGAGGAAGCGCAUCGGAAACUGGGAAACUUGAGUGCAGAAGAGGACAGUGGAACUCCAUGUGUAGCGGUGAAAUGCGUAGAUAUAUGGAAGAACACCAGUGGCGAAGGCGGCUGUCUGGUCUGUAACUGACGCUGAGGCUCGAAAGCAUGGGUAGCGAACAGGAUUAGAUACCCUGGUAGUCCAUGCCGUAAACGAUGAAUGCUAGGUGUUGGAGGGUUUCCGCCCUUCAGUGCCGCAGCUAACGCAUUAAGCAUUCCGCCUGGGGAGUACGACCGCAAGGUUGAAACUCAAAGGAAUUGACGGGGGCCCGCACAAGCGGUGGAGCAUGUGGUUUAAUUCGAAGCAACGCGAAGAACCUUACCAGGUCUUGACAUCUUUUGAUCACCUGAGAGAUCAGGUUUCCCCUUCGGGGGCAAAAUGACAGGUGGUGCAUGGUUGUCGUCAGCUCGUGUCGUGAGAUGUUGGGUUAAGUCCCGCAACGAGCGCAACCCUUAUGACUAGUUGCCAGCAUUUAGUUGGGCACUCUAGUAAGACUGCCGGUGACAAACCGGAGGAAGGUGGGGAUGACGUCAAAUCAUCAUGCCCCUUAUGACCUGGGCUACACACGUGCUACAAUGGAUGGUACAACGAGUUGCGAGACCGCGAGGUCAAGCUAAUCUCUUAAAGCCAUUCUCAGUUCGGACUGUAGGCUGCAACUCGCCUACACGAAGUCGGAAUCGCUAGUAAUCGCGGAUCAGCACGCCGCGGUGAAUACGUUCCCGGGCCUUGUACACACCGCCCGUCACACCAUGAGAGUUUGUAACACCCGAAGCCGGUGGCGUAACCCUUUUAGGGAGCGAGCCGUCUAAGGUGGGACAAAUGAUUAGGGUGAAGUCGUAACAAGGUA